Molecule: ribosomal RNA, 637 nt
Filed under: Mycobacterium sp. Se3Ps_2693
Lineage: Bacteria; Bacillati; Actinomycetota; Actinomycetes; Mycobacteriales; Mycobacteriaceae
Description: bacterial SSU rRNA
Rfam family: Bacterial small subunit ribosomal RNA
Source: RNAcentral
GCCUGAUGCAGCGACGCCGCGUGAGGGAUGACGGCCUUCGGGUUGUAAACCUCUUUCAGCAGGGACGAAGCGCAAGUGACGGUACCUGUAGAAGAAGGACCGGCCAACUACGUGCCAGCAGCCGCGGUAAUACGUAGGGUCCGAGCGUUGUCCGGAAUUACUGGGCGUAAAGAGCUCGUAGGUGGUUUGUCGCGUUGUUCGUGAAAACUCACAGCUUAACUGUGGGCGUGCGGGCGAUACGGGCAGACUUGAGUACUGCAGGGGAGACUGGAAUUCCUGGUGUAGCGGUGGAAUGCGCAGAUUUCAAGAGGAACACCGGUGGCGAAGGCGGGUCUCUGGGCAGUAACUGACGCUGAGGAGCGAAAGCGUGGGGAGCGAACAGGAUUAGAUACCCUGGUAGUCCACGCCGUAAACGGUGGGUACUAGGUGUGGGUUUCCUUCCUUGGGAUCCGUGCCGUAGCUAACGCAUUAAGUACCCCGCCUGGGGAGUACGGCCGCAAGGCUAAAACUCAAAGAAAUUGACGGGGGCCCGCACAAGCGGCGGAGCAUGUGGAUUAAUUCGAUGCAACGCGAAGAACCUUACCUGGGUUUGACAUGCACAGGACGUGCCUAGAGAUAGGUAUUCCCUUGUGGCCUG